RNAcentral lists this ribosomal RNA (404 nucleotides) under uncultured Leptotrichia sp. RNAcentral's name for it is "bacterial SSU rRNA". It matches the Rfam family "Bacterial small subunit ribosomal RNA", at positions 355 to 774 of the family's 1533-position model. Lineage: Bacteria; Fusobacteriati; Fusobacteriota; Fusobacteriia; Fusobacteriales; Leptotrichiaceae. The record is from RNAcentral.
UGGGGAAUAUUGGACAAUGGGGGCAACCCUGAUCCAGCAAUUCUGUGUGCACGAAGACGGUUUUCGGAUUGUAAAGUGCUUUCAGCAGGGAAGAAGGAAGUGACGGUACCUGCAGAAGAAGCGACGGCUAAAUACGUGCCAGCAGCCGCGGUAAUACGUAUGUCGCGAGCGUUAUCCGGAAUUAUUGGGCAUAAAGGGCAUCUAGGCGGCCUAACAAGUCAGGGGUGAAAACCUGCGGCUCAACCGCAGGCUUGCCUUUGAAACUGUAAGGCUGGAGUAUCGGAGAGGUGGACGGAACUGCACGAGUAGAGGUGAAAUUCGUAGAUAUGUGCAGGAAUGCCGAUGAUGAAGAUAGUUCACUGGACGAUAACUGACGCUGAAGUGCGAAAGCCGGGGAGCAAACA